This 432-nucleotide ribosomal RNA is filed under the name uncultured bacterium. Its description in RNAcentral is "partial 16S ribosomal RNA". It matches the Rfam family "Bacterial small subunit ribosomal RNA", at positions 29 to 506 of the family's 1533-position model. The record is from RNAcentral.
AGCGAACGCUGGCGGCAGGCCUAACACAUGCAAGUCGAACGAACUCUUCGGAGUUAGUGGCGGACGGGUGAGUAACACGUGGGAACGUGCCUUUAGGUUCGGAAUAACUCAGGGAAACUUGAGCUAAUACCGGAUGUGCCCUUCGGGGGAAAGAUUUAUCGCCUUUAGAGCGGCCCGCGUCUGAUUAGCUAGUUGGUGAGGUAAAGGCUCACCAAGGCGACGAUCAGUAGCUGGUCUGAGAGGAUGAUCAGCCACAUUGGGACUGAGACACGGCCCAAACCCCCACGGGGGGGCGGAGGGGGGAAAUUUUGGGAAGGGGGGGAAAGCCGAACGCGCCCAGCCCGGGGAAAUAAUGAGGGUUUAAGAAUGAAAAAUUUUUUCCCCCGGGAACGAAAUGGCCGAACCCGGGAAAAGAGCCCCGGGUAACCUCCU